GUGGGGAAUUUUGGACAAUGGGCGCAAGCCUGAUCCAGCAAUGCCGCGUGCAGGAAGAAGGCCUUCGGGUUGUAAACUGCUUUUGUACGGAACGAAAAGGCUCUGGUUAAUACCUGGGGCUCAUGACGGUACCGUAAGAAUAAGCACCGGCUAACUACGUGCCAGCAGCCGCGGUAAUACGUAGGGUGCAAGCGUUAAUCGGAAUUACUGGGCGUAAAGCGUGCGCAGGCGGUUUUGUAAGACAGACGUGAAAUCCCCGGGCUCAACCUGGGAAUGGGGUUUGGGACUGCAAAGCUGGAGUGCGGCAGAGGGGGAUGGAAUUCCGCGUGUAGCAGUGAAAUGCGUAGAUAUGCGGAGGAACACCGAUGGCGAAGGCAAUCCCCUGGGCCUGCACUGACGCUCAUGCACGAAAGCGUGGGGAGCAAACAGGAUUAGAAACCCGGGUAGUCC
Molecule: ribosomal RNA, 450 nt
Filed under: uncultured bacterium
Lineage: Bacteria
Description: partial 16S ribosomal RNA
Rfam family: Bacterial small subunit ribosomal RNA
Source: RNAcentral